UGGUGAGGCUCUGAUGUGCCAGCCUGUGGGAGGCGCCGCUGACCGGUCCCCGUGCUGCUGCCCCCCGCGCCGGCUCCCAGGUCCUCGGGGCGGUGGGCAGGCGUGCAGGGAGAAAGGGGGCAUUGACAUGUGUCUGCUGGAUGUCUCCCUCACUUAGGCGCUUUGAUUUUGAAGCUGCCAUCUAGGAGAGGUGGCGGUCCCUUUUUCUGGUUAGGGCGACUGAAGCUCGGAGGAGCAGCGCCACCAGCGGGCACAUUCAUGCCCGCACCAGCCCUCAGCCCCAGCCGUCAGUAGGCAGCCACUCUGCCCCGUGGCCUUGGGCCCCUGCCUGUUCCUUUGUGUGCUAGUUCCUUCUUGCUUUUUGACUCUGGUCCUUAUUAUAGGGGCUGCCGCCCACUGGUACCUUCGCAAGAGGAAGCCUGCAGCAUUGAGCACCCCUCUGCUCUCUGUCCCCGUGGCAGGUGCUGUGGAGCCCAUGUUUCCACAGGACUUCACCAGGGGACUCCACAGGUCCUCUACGGGUCUCAGCCCUACCGACUCUCACUUUGGAACAAAACACCAGCCCUUUUAUAGCUGAUAAAGAAUAAAGUUGUUAAUCAUCUCGAAUGACCGAUCCUGACCCUUUUGUAUGUACAGCUAGCAUUUGUGGCGUCUAGUUCGGUUAGGACCCCUGUUCUGGCUUAUUGGCCUCCCUGGCACAGAAUAAGGGAACGGGACCAUGCGAUGGUGCAGGGGGAAACACAGGUUUGGGGGCAUGGGGCAUGGAGAAAAUGGGGUGAGAGCUGUGCCUUGAGGGGUCAGGAGGAUUUGAACAUGUACAGACGGGCAGUCUGGCCUGGAGAGCACAACCAGGGGCACUGAGCCCUGACGGUGGUAAGUUCCAGGCACUCGUUUAGUGGUGCACCUGGGGGAUAGCUCCUUUGUUGAAAGACGUUCUAGAUGCAGAGCAGGUGUUAAGUAGGGAAAAUGGAGUGGUCACUGGGGGUGAGCCAUAGGACCAGCUCUUUCCUGGCAUAGAGGGGGGUGAGGGGUUAACUGGCCCAAGGCCUCAGGGCUGGAUUUACACUGCACCUGGUACCCUCUCCUCUGGCAGUUUAUCCCUAACCCUUACCCUUCUGAC
Molecule: long non-coding RNA, 1120 nt
Filed under: Zalophus californianus (California sea lion)
Lineage: Eukaryota; Metazoa; Chordata; Mammalia; Carnivora; Otariidae
Description: lncRNA (ENSZCAG00015012843.1)
Source: RNAcentral